UUUUUAUUUAAAAGAAUAGUUCCUUAGUAUGACGUUUAGCAGCAUAACGGCACACGGGAUUUACGUGAGGUGAAGCAACCGCGUUCUUAGGUCCAAUGAAAAGAUGCCACGUGAAUCCGUGGCUGUGUGUACGUGGCUUAUAAAUAAGCAUGCAGAAUUCUUGGGUUUCGUCUCAACUCACAAAUUAGGCUGUUAAAGGUUUUCAGUGUUUCGUUCUAAUCAGAAUUGUUCCUCUCUAUUUUUUUGUGAGUUGCAACUUCACAAAGAAAAGCUUUUUAAGUUAAGGAAAUCCAGAGAGCAAAAAUGGCAGGUGACGGUACAGCUACAUGCAUAGACAUCCUUCUUGCUAUCAUCUUGCCUCCUCUUGGAGUCUUUCUCAAAUAUGGCUGCAAGGUGGAGUUCUGGAUUUGUUUGGUGCUAACCCUUUUUGGUUAUAUACCUGGAAUUAUCUAUGCUGUCUAUGCCAUAACCAAGUGAUCAUACUUUAACUUUUGUAAGUGAUCCUUUUACAUGGAAGAUUCUCAUUUUGUUAAAGCCAUGGGAUUAUCUUUUUCUCUUGUAAAGUAAACAUUUAAUUUACUUCAAGGAAUUUGGGUUUGAAAUAAUUUGGCUGUUGUAAAUUUUUGGGCUUCUGGCAGCGGUCUCUAGUACCCUGUUCUACUCAGUCACAUUAAGACGAAACCCAUAUCUUUUUUUUUUUUCCUUCUUUCCUUUAUAGAGAAAGAAAGCACAAAAUAUUCAUUCAGAAGUAACUAGUUGUAAUUAAGAAUGAAGAGAGAAGUUUAUACAGAGAAGGGCAUGUUGUUACACCUCGCACUACUUUUAUGCUAAUUUCUCCUGAUAAUAAUUGUAACUAAAGGAAUUUGAAGUGGGUUACUGGGUUUAGCUUUGAGUAGCUUUACUUUUAUGGUGGACCUUCUAAUUUCACUGAUGAAAUGAUGUUUCUUUUGGCAGGAAGGCAAUAAACAAAUGUUAUGAGCGUUUCUGUCAUUCAACUCAGAUAUUAGUGUUUCUUUACUACAUCAUUGUCAAUGUCAUAAUUUUUUUUAUGCUCUGUUUCUAAAAUUCCUUUGUUUUUAGCUUAAGCGAGAGUGGAGUGUGUAGCUUGUAUGUAGUCUCUAGUGUUAAUCGAUUCGAAAUACACAAUUUGAUUUGUACCAAUGGUCUUGUUCAAGUAUGUAAUGUAAAUUGUGCUAUUCUUGACUUUCAAAUGAAUAAAUUGAAAUUUUUUCUUAUUA
RNAcentral lists this small RNA (1238 nucleotides) under Vigna angularis var. angularis. RNAcentral's name for it is "Non-protein coding transcript". Lineage: Eukaryota; Viridiplantae; Streptophyta; Magnoliopsida; Fabales; Fabaceae. The record is from RNAcentral.